UGCGGGGUCGUCUAAUGGUAGGACUAUUGCCUCUGGAGCAAUGUAUCUUGGUUCGAGUCCAAGCCCCGCAG
Molecule: non-coding RNA, 71 nt
Organism: Candidatus Wolfebacteria bacterium
Lineage: Bacteria; Candidatus Wolfeibacteriota
Source: Rfam